GGCAGCUUGGUGGUAGAGCACCUGCCAUGCCUACAAAAGGCCCCAGAAGGCCCCAGGUUCAAUCCCUGGCAUCGCCA
Non-coding RNA from Podarcis lilfordi (Lilford's wall lizard), 77 nucleotides. The record is from the annotation of a GenBank genome assembly. Lineage: Eukaryota; Metazoa; Chordata; Lepidosauria; Squamata; Lacertidae.